This is a long non-coding RNA of Glossina fuscipes, 707 nucleotides long. RefSeq lists it as uncharacterized. The record is from RefSeq and is a predicted model, not a curated record. NCBI's taxonomy places the organism in Eukaryota, Metazoa, Arthropoda, Insecta, Diptera, Glossinidae. The transcript is spliced from 3 exons.
ACUUCUGGAUCGCCUCCAUUUUCAGUGUAUUCUGUCGACACGUUUGCAUGUUCGAACAUUACUUUUUUACGGGGGAAAGGCACUGCGCUUUUGAUGUGAGGGUGGCUGCUUUUCUGCGAAAUCCAACAAACUUGGCAUUACCUACAUGGUUAUCUGCGCUGAUUUGCCAUUCCAAGAAAGACAAUAUUACUUUGAUAACAAGAAAAUUAAUAACCCAGAAAGAAUUGUUUGGUACGAAAAGCAUUACUCGGCACUGAUAUUCUAAAAAUGAAAAGCAAAUAGUUAUUAUAAAAUUUGAGCGACAUCACGUCGUGUUAAUCCAAUUUUAACGACAAAGUAAUUAAAUUCAAUGUAAAUAGGCUUUCUAUCCUACAAGAAAGUGUUGCAGGCUGACAAAACGUGGGGUAAUUAUUGUCUUGUGGUAAAUGGCGUGAUUAUUUUGCGAGACGGCCUGGGAUCGUGAAACCACGUCCACAUAAGCCGAGGACAUCAAAUGCGAAACUGUCGGAAAUCGAUGGCGAAAUUAUUUGAGUUAAUCGAUUACUCUUUAUUAUGUUUGGACAAAACUCAACGCAGCCUGGUUUUUUCGUAUUUCGAUCUGCCAAAAUGCUAUUUUUGCAGGAAAGCCACACAGGAGCGAGAAGAAUUUGGAGAUUGAAGGUAUCUUUUAAGCUUCAAAAAGCUGCUACAGAGGUCAUGCCAACAGU